CGCUAUCACUCCUACGGGAGGCAGCAGUGGGGAAUAUUGCACAAUGGGGAAAACCCUGAUGCAGCCAUGCCGCGUGUGUGAAGAAGGCCUUCGGGUUGUAAAGCACUUUCAGUAGGGAGGAAGGUAGUGUAGUUAACACCUGCAUUAUUUGACGUUACCUACAGAAGAAGCACCGGCUAACUCCGUGCCAGCAGCCGCGGUAAUACGGAGGGUGCGAGCGUUAAUCGGAAUUACUGGGCGUAAAGCGCAUGCAGGCGGCCUGUUAAGUCAGAUGUGAAAGCCCGGGGCUUAACCUCGGAAUUGCAUUUGAAACUGGCAGGCUAGAGUCUUGUAGAGGGGGUAGAAUUUCAGGUGUAGCGGUGAAAUGCGUAGAGAUCUGAAGGAAUACCAGUGGCGAAGGCGGCCCCCUGGACAAAGACUGACGCUCAGAUGCGAAAGCGUGGGGAGCAAACAGGAUUAGAUACCCUGGUAG
Molecule: ribosomal RNA, 472 nt
Filed under: uncultured bacterium
Lineage: Bacteria
Description: bacterial SSU rRNA
Rfam family: Bacterial small subunit ribosomal RNA
Source: RNAcentral